This 21-nucleotide microRNA is filed under the name Panagrellus redivivus. RNAcentral's name for it is "prd-miR-7968-5p". Lineage: Eukaryota; Metazoa; Nematoda; Chromadorea; Rhabditida; Panagrolaimidae. The record is from miRBase by way of RNAcentral.
CAUUACAUGUUUUACUGGUUG